RNAcentral lists this long non-coding RNA (619 nucleotides) under Hordeum vulgare. RNAcentral's name for it is "long non-coding RNA (HVUL_LNC017863)". The record is from RNAcentral. Lineage: Eukaryota; Viridiplantae; Streptophyta; Magnoliopsida; Poales; Poaceae.
CAUGUGAGAGCCAUUAAACAUUGUAACCAUGGUCUUCUACCUUGACCCAAAGAUAAAGAAAACUAUUUACACGGGAAAGCUCCCUACAAGCAAAAGAAGAAAAAAGAAAAUCUUUUUGGGUUUUCACAAACUAGACCGACACACGAAAAGAAAACGAGAAAAAGAAAAUAAACUAUCAUGGAUGAUACAGUGGCAAAGUGUGAACACCGAGUAACAAAGUGAAAGCAUAAGCAAGAAUGUAAAGUCCGUGAGAAACACGUACUCCCCCAAGCUUAGGCUUUUGGCCUAAGUUGGUCUACUCCCAUGGAUGGUCCGAGCGAUACCCAAAAUCAUAAUGGGGGUUAUACGGGAGCGCCGCAGCCACUGCCUGAAUAGAUGCCUCACGGAGACGACCAGCCUUUGCCUCCCUCUCAUACCCCUCUUCCUCUCCUCUGGUUAUGUAAUAUCUUUGUUUUACCUGAAAGUCAAAGAAGGCAGGAGCAGGAAGGGUAAUAUGGAAAACACGCUGCCCGUUAAAUAUCAAACGGUAUAGGAGGGAUUCAUCAUCCCUCUGAAGGAACUGAUAGUGUGUCAAAGCGGUGCGAUCAAGGAAAGCUGUAUGGAGCAGGGGAUCUCCUUC